GACGAACGCUGGCGGCGUGCUUAACACAUGCAAGUCGAACGGAAAGGCCCUGCUUUUGUGGGGUGCUCGAGUGGCGAACGGGUGAGUAACACGUGAGUAACCUGCCCUUGACUUUGGGAUAACUUCAGGAAACUGGGGCUAAUACCGGAUAGGAGCUCCUGCUGCAUGGUGGGGGUUGGAAAGUUUCGGCGGUUGGGGAUGGACUCGCGGCUUAUCAGCUUGUUGGUGGGGUAGUGGCUUACCAAGGCUUUGACGGGUAGCCGGCCUGAGAGGGUGGCCGGCCACAUGGGGACUGAGAUACGGCCCAGACUCCUACGGGAGGCAGCAGUGGGGAAUAUUGCACAAUGGGCGGAAGCCUGAUGCAGCAACGCCGCGUGCGGGAUGACGGCCUUCGGGUGGUAAACCGCUUUCGCCUGUGACGAAGCGUGAGUGACGGUAAUGGGUAAAGAAGCACCGGCUAACUACGUG
This 468-nucleotide ribosomal RNA is filed under the name uncultured bacterium. RNAcentral's name for it is "partial 16S ribosomal RNA". It matches the Rfam family "Bacterial small subunit ribosomal RNA", at positions 28 to 507 of the family's 1533-position model. The record is from RNAcentral.